UUUUUUUUUUUUUUUGGAAUUCACAGGAAACAAGAUUCUGAUGCAGAGAGCCACUAGUUCAUAAAAAAUUUCAGAAUAAGCAUAUGAAGCCUUGAACUCUGGCACAAUGUGAUGCCACAUGGAUGGGCUGACACCAGCCUGACAUGAUAUUUGUUUUGUUGAUAUUAAGGCUCUCAAAUCGCAAAAAUAAAUUGAAAAUGCACUUUUUAGGAAAAAAAAAGUCUAUUUUAAGUAAUUCGUUUAAUUUAGAUCAGAGAUGUUCCCUCUGUCUUUCUUCUCUUGUAAAAAAAUUUUCAUAAAACCAAUCAGCCCUCUGUAAUUGUGAAUGCAUCAGAAGCUGUGAAAUGUACAUUCUGGUAAUAAAAUUCUGCUGGAAUCAAUUAUGUUGGGCUGCAAGAAGCUAUCUGCUUCCUGUACGAUGCAUAACAUCCGGCUUAAACAGUAUCAACAUUAAUAAGCUGCUCUUAAGUUUCUAUAUAGCUUUCUCUGGGGAGAAUUUGUUACUGUCAGUCAACUGUCAAAUGCUUAUAGUAUGAUUAAUGAAUCAUAUUUAGAUGAUUGACAGUGAAAGUCUACUUUAUAGAACGUGUCAAUCAUUUUUAUAGCUGCUCUCCAUUUUCAUGGACAUUAGCAAUACUGUUCUUAACUUUGGAGCAUUAUAAGCCCAACUCUGCAUGCUCUAGGCCACUAAGCUACACAGACAUCUGGAGAAGAUUUUAUCCCAUUUCUUUCUGUGUUGCUCUAGGCUAAACCCAAAUAUUCUUGUUUGCCCUCUCGAAGCUCAAAGCAAGCAGCUAGGUGAAGCAGACAAUACAUUUUAAGUGAAAAAUUAAUGAGUGAGGGUUCUCGUACAGAAUUGUAUUAUCCAGUUGAUAAUUUAUAACGCAGAGUCCAAAGUGGAAUGCUUUAGUUUCAAUCAUGCAGUUUUCCAUGCUUUUACCUUUCAAUGAUUCAUUUAUCAUUUUGUUCUUAUGUGCAUUCCUCCAAUUUAAUUCAGAUCCUUAAAAACAUCCUAAUCUUUUCAAGUAAAGGAUGGCUCCACUGAAACAUUAACAGUUUUAUUCAUUUGACUCCAAAAUUCUUUACACACUCUUGGAAAACAAUGAUGUGUUUAACUGGAAAUUACAAUGUGGUUUUUUAAUGUGUUGGCUAUAAGUUACUGAAUCCAUAUUUACAAUAAAUUUUAACAGGCAACUAUUUUUCAGGGUAAAAAUAGUCAAAGUUUUUCAAACCUAGAAAUAAUAAAAGACUGUAAGUAAUAAGACCAGAAAAGGAAAUCAAGCACUGAUAACUGAUAUUUUUCAUGUAUAUAAGGAUUUUUUUCCAUUAUAGCUGGUUUACAGUGUUCUAUCAGUUUUCUACUGUACAGCAUGGUGACCCAGUUACACAUACAUGUAUACAUUCUUUGUUCUCACAUUAUCAGGCUCCAUCACAAAUGAUUUUUUUUUAAAUCUUUAUCCUUUGGAGUUUGUGUGGUUUGGCCAAGGAAAUAAUGCAGAAGGCAAAGUGAUGCCUUCUCUGUUCUUUGAUUUCUUCUGCUAUUUUCUGUGAAACCAAAGAUAGGCAAAAAGGGUGCAACUAUCUUACUGGCCAUGCAAAGCAGCAUCAUGCAUAAAGACUAUGACGUUUUGUACAAGAUCUGCCCUCACUUGGUAGCUGUUUGGCUUUUAGAAAUUGGCUUAACUCGCCCAAAGUCUCAUCUGUAAACUGAUACAACAGUACUUGGGUUCAAAGGUGCUGGGGGAUUUAAAUAAAAUAUUAUAUGUAAUGACCUGACAUGAUGCCUUUCCCAUAACUGGAGCUAAUUUUUUUUAAAUCCUCUUUUGUAUCUACCAUAGAACCUAGCAUAGCAGGAAUACAUGCACAGUAUACAUAAUGUCACUUAACAAAUAUUUGUUAAAUUUAAUUUUAAAAAGUCAGAGAAGAAAGUAGCGGUCUCUGGUUUCCCUCAGGUCAUCAUGGUGGCAAUGACAGCCUUGGUAACUGGCUACUUUGCAUAGGAUUCUUUUUCUGUGGUGAAAGGGGUUAACAGAAUAACUUUCGUACUCGUCUCUUUUCCUUCCCAGUUUUCAUUAGCAGCACAAAGAAAGAUCAUUUCUAAUUUUUGAUUCACUGGGAAACUCUGAUUCUCUUUCCUUUUUCUUCUGUUACACAUCCUUACCUUUGUCUUUUUCUUUUUUCAUCCUCCAAAUACAGGAAUUGCAUCAAGGCUUCAAAUAACAUGCCUGUUCCAAUUGGCUGGUAAUGGCUGUCUAGAGAUGGAUUCUGAUCAGGUUCAGCAGGAAUGAUCAAUUAGCAAUGUCUGCUACAGGCACAGGAGGGGGCAAAUAAAUUUUGUGUGCCAAAUAUUUGCCAACCCAAUCCAAAUCCCACUACAGCUAUAUUUCUGCUUCAUUAUAUGUUGAAAGUCAUGAGCAGUUUUUACAUUAUCUACAUGAGAUGACAGCCAAAGGCUGGAUAGGUUUGUCUCAGAGAGUUCAUAGACCAGUAAAUUAUUUUUAAUUAACAGCUUGUCUGGGACCCGAGCUGAAGAGCUCCUUGAGCAAACAUACUUUGAUGCACAGAGAGGUCAGGCUGCUGGUCUAACUACAUGGACAGACAGAUGGACGGACAGACUAACAGAAUCCUGGCAAUACUUAUACAAAAUUUGUGACUGCAUUGGAAAGAAUACUUAACUGUAUGGCAUUAUAUUAAGAACUAUUCUUAAACUACUGAUAUAUUACUAUUAAAUAGAACAUCAUACACUAAUGAUAAGAUUUGAACACAUUCACAAAAUAUUUUAGUAUUUUUGAAAAAAGAAGCUUUUUUUCCCCAGUGAAUAAAGAAGCAUAUAUCUGGGGAGUUCCUAUUGUGGCUCAGCAGGUUAAGAACCCAACUAGUAUCCAAGAGGAUGCAAGUUCAAUCCCUGGCCUUGAUCAGUGCGUUAAGGAUCAGGCAUUGCCGUGAGCUGUGGUGUAGGUCACAGACGUGGCUCAGAUCCCAUGUUGCUGUGGCUCUGGCGUAGGCCAGCAGCUACAGCUCUGAUUAUACCCCUAGCCUGGAAACCUCCAUAUGCCACAGGUGUGGCCCUAGAAAAGACAAAAAGGAAAAAGAAGAAGAAGCAAAUUUCUGGAUAUUUACCCAAGUAACACUGAUGGAAAAUGCUAGAUCCAUCCACAGUUAUGAACUAGUCCAGAAAACUGAAAUGUCACAGGGACCACCUACUACCUACAAUUCUUUUCUUACUAGUAUUGGCCUUUGAACCAUUCUUUUUUGACUCAUAGCUUUAAAAUAAACAUGUAUGUUAAUAAAAUAAUUUUAGAUCGUACAAAGAUGGAUAUAUGUCCUUUUCCUAAGAUUGUUGAGGAGGCUGGAGGGGACUUUUUUCUUCUUCGUCUCAAGCUAGUAGCCUGAUUGCUGU
This 3400-nucleotide long non-coding RNA is filed under the name Sus scrofa (pig). Its description in RNAcentral is "lncRNA (ENSSSCG00015069608.1)". The record is from RNAcentral. Lineage: Eukaryota; Metazoa; Chordata; Mammalia; Artiodactyla; Suidae.